RNAcentral lists this ribosomal RNA (466 nucleotides) under uncultured bacterium. Its description in RNAcentral is "partial 16S ribosomal RNA". It matches the Rfam family "Bacterial small subunit ribosomal RNA", at positions 28 to 507 of the family's 1533-position model. The record is from RNAcentral.
GACGAACGCUGGCGGCGCGCCUAACACAUGCAAGUCGAACGAGCGAGAGAGAGCUUGCUUUCUCGAGCGAGUGGCGAACGGGUGAGUAACGCGUGAGGAACCUGCCUCAAAGAGGGGGACAACAGUUGGAAACGACUGCUAAUACCGCAUAAGCCCACGGCUCGGCAUCGAGCAGGGGGAAAAGGAGCAAUCCGCUUUGAGAUGGCCUCGCGUCCGAUUAGCUAGUUGGUGGGGUAACGGCCCACCAAGGCGACGAUCGGUAGCCGGACUGAGAGGUUGAACGGCCACAUUGGGACUGAGACACGGCCCAGACUCCUACGGGAGGCAGCAGUGGGGAAUAUUGCACAAUGGGGGAAACCCUGAUGCAGCGACGCCGCGUGGAGGAAGAAGGUCUUCGGAUUGUAAACUCCUGUUGUUGGGGAAGAUAAUGACGGUACCCAAAAAGGAAGUGACGGCUAACUACGUG